This 24-nucleotide microRNA is filed under the name Caenorhabditis briggsae. RNAcentral's name for it is "Cbr-Mir-73-P1b_5p* (star (passenger))". The record is from RNAcentral. Lineage: Eukaryota; Metazoa; Nematoda; Chromadorea; Rhabditida; Rhabditidae.
CCGGCUUCCACAUCGAGCCUCAGC